UAAAUACAAUGAACUAUAUUUCAUGUUAUAUUAAGUUGUAAGAUUAAUAUGCACAUAUGAGGAUAGAAAUUGCUGGGCAGAAUUAUUCUGAAGGAAAAAGGAAGAGAAAAAAAAUGACCUAAGGGAGAAAGAAGGAGGAAUGUAUAAAAGAUUACCUGUUGGGCAAAGAAUAAGAAGUUCCUCAUAUCACACAUUUCUUUUGUCCCAGGAAGAUCAAAGUUAAGUUUGAAGGAGAAGAAAUAAUUUUAGUCUUGUUCCCAGAAAGGAAAAGGAGGAUGGAUUGAUUAGACAGAGUAUGAGAGACAUAAUAAGUAUUCAUUGCAUAAGGAGAGAAGAAAAAUGUGGUACCAAAUGACAGUAUUUAAGUAGUCAACAUGAGUAGAUGGAAAUAGAGGAUGUGGCAAAUCCACAGAGUUUCUAAAUAAGCAGGGAGAUCUAUUUAAAAUUAUACAAAGACACAGAAAGACAGUAAACUUGAUGUAACGUGGAUUCAUUAUGAUACAGAGUCACUAAAUAGGAGCCUGUUGCUGCUGCUAGAAUAGGAAACUAUAAAGUAAGUGAUGACAGAAAUCCCAGUGAUAUAUCACAAAGCAAAUGGCCUUAGGAAGGACCAGAUGAGAACCAGACUUCAGGGAGGCUGUCGGAAUGAACAAAUGGCAGGGAGCCAGCCGCAAACAUGUAUAGUCUUGGUGGCAGUCGAACUUUCAAUGACCACACACAAUCUUUAUGUGAGGGCAAAACUCAAGCCCAAUGUCCUUAAAAGUCAAGAAGUCCUUCAUCCCAAAGAAAAAAACAAAUGUUACCCAAUAGGCAAACAAUGCUGAGAGUUCACUUCCUCUAACUCUGUAGUUAAGUUACUCACUCAGUAUAACAUCACCCUCCUGCCAGGGGUUGAAGUCAGGAAGUAGUUUAUUUUCGCUGAAACUGAAGGGGGAAGUUAAAGAGAAAAAUAGCUGCAACUUGGUCAAUUCAGGAAAACCAGGUACGAAAAAAGAGGAGCAAGUUAAAGGGAAAGCCAGCUCGGAUUUGCUCACCAGUAAAAGGCAAAAAUCCCAGUGUUAUUCAUCUGCAUUUGGUGUGAAAGACAAAAGCUCAACUGGGAUCUGAGGCUUUCUGUGUCAGAGGGCAAGGAGUCAAUGGGGUUAUGAGGAAGUAAGACCACUUGAGACAUCAAAGAAAAGUAGAUCAAAUCACUAGACUCCUCCAAACAGGAGUGGGUGAAGACAAAAAGUGGAGAGAAUCCAGAGGGAAGAGAGGAGUAGGGAAAAUGGUGGAAAGGGAAGGUUUUUGAGAUGGAAGGCAGAGAAUGGGAACAAAAGAAGAAAAAGCUGUUUGUUUCAAAUCAAUAUUCUCCAAGAGGAUGUCUUGUUUCCCCAGGGAUAUUCUGAGGGACUCACAGGAUCAGAGCUGCGACACUUCUAACAUAUGAAUUCUCUCAAUUCUGAUGCCCUUUGACCUCUGCCACACAAUGCCAAGACAAACCCAGACCCCAGGCCCUGGAAACAGAGGAGGGGCAGGUUUUCUCAGAGUUAACUUUCUCUAACCUUGAAGCCGAAUCCAGGGGCAGGAGCAGGAGUCAACUCUGAGAAGACGUGAUAGAGCUUCAGCAACAUGGAGAGGAGAUAGCCGGUCUGGCUAGGAUGGAAGAAAUGUACAUGGAGAAGAAAGACAGAAGAACCAUCACUGAGCACUAAACUAAUCAGCCAUAAUGUGCAGAUUGACUGGCAAGCCUAUCACCACCUUGAUAACAGAUGACAUUAAAGAGAAAGUAUCAAUGUGAGGAUUAAAUGGGAUGAAAAAUAAAACAUCUGUCGGAGUGCCUGGAAUAUGAGCCUAGUAGAGCACCCAGCACACAGUAGGCUCUUAAUACAUGCUUGGGAUGAUUGAGGCAUUUUCUUCCACCAUAUUCCAUGAUCUUCUAGCCCUGGGGGUGCAGAGAGAUUACCUGGCCAAGAAGACUAGGGGUAAAGUACUUUUCUUACCUGGUACACAAAUAUCCAAGAUUGGAAAGAAGAAAGAAAAUGACGACAGAAUUUUGCAGUCUACAAGGCAAACACUGCCAUUCAUGUAGUUAUGGAGUUCCUACUAUGUGCAGACAAUGGGAAACUUUACGAAGGAACCUCGACGUAGCCUGUUCCCAAUGCCCUCUGUGGAAUCAGCCAGGUCCAUGCCACAAGUAUGAAUUGUUUCCAGUGCGGCAGUCCUGGGAGUGCCUGAGCCACAAGCCAGUGUCCCCUACUCAGUUGUGCCCUGUGGGGACUGAAGCAGGACUAUAUUCUCACAGGCUCUCCUAAAAGCUGGGCUGCCAGCUUCUAGCUCUACUCCUUUCUCAAAGUGGCCCAGGCCAUCUCUCAGACCAAGGUGGAUGGAGCAGCAUCAGCCAUGGCUCAGGAAUGCAGCCGCCUACUUUCCUGUUAUCAGCAGGCAUUCCUGUGGUUACACUAUUCCUGCUUAGCUUAUCAAUGGCCCUUGGGAACACAGAGUCAGCACCCAAAGAGGGCCAGAACAGCCUGCUUGUUGGACGCCCAUCCACACCAUGAGGCUUUCCUGGAUGUAGAGGGAAGUUACUGUUCCUCGGGAAAACCCCUCUUCCCAGCUGGGUUUUAAAAAGCAGCAGGUUUAAGAGCUGACCAUAUCUGAAAGACUCUAGAAUAGCAGAGGAUUGAUUAAAGGGACACAGAGGUUCAUGUGAUGUAAUAAGAAAGAAAUAAAGGAAGCUUUAUCUGCCGCUCUUUCAACCUCAUCCACUCAACACUUACCCCGUGACAGACCCCAAUACUCUUAAUGAAUUCCCAAGGUUACGAAAGAACUUGGAAGAUCUUACAUUCCUACAUGGUGAUUACAGAGGCUCACAUUUUGCCAAGUCAUAUGCAGGUGGCUGAAAAGUAAGUUUACUUUAUCUGCAUUUCAUAUUACACUUGUUCUUUCUUAUGAAUGUUUCUUUCAUAGUCAUGCAAAGUACUCAAUCAGUAAUUCCCCACCAAAAUGGUUGUUACAUAAGCGGCCGUGCAACAAUGCAUAUGUCAGCUCAGAUUCAUGUCAGAGAAAGUUCUCUAGUUUAUAUAACUCACUCCCCAGCAGCCAGUACACAGUUCAAAAAGUGUGGGCCUUUACAUUAUGGCGGGAGGGAGGUUAUUUUGUUUUGUUUGUUUUUUUUUAACACAUCACAUAAAUACACUUCCUUUCUCCUUUGUAACGUAUGGGAUACAUGGAAUUCCUAACUCACACAGAUCUCACUGUAGACCCAAUGAAUGGCACGGAGCCGACACAAACACCCACACACUUGUCUCAGUUACAGAUCUCUGCUAAAGACCAGAAGUUGGCCAUUACUAUGAAUAUACACUUCUGUUGGAUUUCUAUGGUAUUUGGUUUCAUUAGAUUGUAUGUUAAGUUAAAUAUGUUUUUUAAAGUUUCAUUCUCCUACCUCAAGUUACGGUGCAUCAAGGGGUCUCAGAGAGAAGUGGAGCUGCCACCUCAAUGUCCCGACCCCAGAGAGGAGCCUCUCAAGCCACCCCAAGGCAGCUGAGCCCCAGCUCGCACCAGAUCACUGUGGAGCAGAACCAAUUUUUAAAUGUCUUCAUCUGGUCCCUCCUACUUUUAUGGUGCUCUGGGGGUGGUGAGAAUCGGGAUGCACUGAAAGCUGCUGGGACAUCUGACUCUUUAUUUUCUUGGCUCUACGUGUCUUAACUCUGCACCAAUCCUCCCGACUGUGCAGAAUUUCACUUUGGAGAGCAGAGGCAAACGGAGAUUCACACAGAGGGGCAGGAGCCGUCAAUGCUGUCUAGUGAGAGGAGAGAAGAGGCAUUGUAAGUCCCCAUAGCACUGCUGUUGGGCUACCCUGCCAGUCAAUGCCACUUUUCCCACAGGCUCCAGCCUCAACUUCCCCUGGUGCAAUAUGAUGAUGGGAAGAAGGGCUCCUAAGAGGAAACUGAUUUAAGUAUCUCUGUUUUUCAGAAAACACUUCCAAUUGCUCUCUCAAGAAUGCGUUUCUAUUUCAUGAGUUGAUGUCAUAUUUUUAGGGGGAGGGAUGUAUGGAGAGAGAAAACUUUCAAAUAUCUGGAAAUCAGUGGUAUGAUGAGCCCUGUUCUCUGCUGCUCCAAGUACAAUACCAAAGCAUGUGGUGGAAGUGAUGGGACAGAUUUGGUUCCAUAUUAGAACUUCCUACUUGUAUGUUGAAUUUUAACGGAUGGCUGGGAGUAACAUCCACUUUACGGAGGUAUAUAAGCAAGCUCCAGACAGUAACUUGGUAUGGAGACUAUGCCAAGGAUCCCAUUGUCAGAAGGGAAGUAUGGUGUUGGGGAAGGAUAUUUCUCCCUCCCCUCCCCAUAGUGCCAUCCUCUGCUUAUAGAGGAGGAAAUAGCUACCCAAGCUUUAGCCCCUCCCGCUGCCCUAUGGAAGGAAUACAUUCCACUCUGAACUAAAGCUGGCAUCUUUGGUGCCACAUUUUAACAGAGGGUCGAGUUACUGUAUCUUGAGAAAGACAUGGGUACGUCAUGCUUCCUUCCACUAUCUGUACCCACUCAAAGUGAAUCGUUCCCCACUGUUCUCUUUAAAUUUUUGCUUCAUGUAGCAGAGAUUCAGGGUCUCGCUCCCCUUCUCCUCCUGACACAAAAGGCAGUCAGACUGAACAGUGGGAUAAGCCCUGAAGAUGGCUGGGAACAGCCACCGGUGGAAAGGGAACCCUUCUUUGCUGCCUUUCUCAUUGCCCCAGCACUGCUAAGUGCAGCAGAUUGGCCUUUUUCACAUUGCAGGGAUGAGAUCCUCAGGAUUUGAGAGGGUUCAUCUGGCUUCCAGGAUUAAACUGUGUUUUCAAAUCGAUCUUUUGACAAAGCCCAACAAUAGAGUUAUUUCUGUUUACCCAUGCAUUUCUAUUAACCCAAGGUGGUGCCUCCUUUCCCACUCAGCUAUCAAUCUUUGUAUGUAUAAUCAAACCCCCAAAUAUAUCUCCAACCAAACUUUCACAACUACAGUGGCACACUCACACAGAGUGAUCUAAAUGGAACACGGGUUUUCUAUAACCACAACCAAACCAUAAACGGCAUUUUAUAUACAUUAUCAUCCAGAAAGCAAUCAGAUUUUUUCAUAGCAAAUGGUAAGAUAUAAUAAAAGGAAAUUUGAGAAUUAUCAUAUAACUUAUAAUGUCUCUUUUAGCCCUAAGGUCCUAAGAUUCAGUGACAUGUGGUGUUUUCUCUUUUUCCUACCACUUUUUCAGCUUAAUUAUUAUCUACAGAGAUUAAAAACACAACUAAAAUUUCUGCAGAUUCACAGUGCUAUUUCAGAAUAGAUUUUACCCCUUAGUACCUUCUAUUUAAUCAAUUAAUGAGAAUACUUUGGAGCCCACUGCAGAAACUAUAAAUUCCAAAUGGUUCCUCAGAACAUGUCAUCAUCAAACCAGUUAGGCUGGCGUUGGUAAAUACCACAGCCUGCAGUUGCCAUGUGUUACAAAAACAAUAAACAGAUACCCUUCAUACCUCUCCCUUCCCUAAAACAAUUAUUCCUAUAAAAGUCUGUCUCUCCAGAUUUUUUGUUGUGGUGUUUCUGAUACCAGUACAAUCAGAAAGUAAUGAAAGUGUUCACUGAAAGGAAGUUUUCACUGAGCAUUGCAGGCCAAUGAGAAUGCAGAUUAACUCAAAUAAACUUUGGAAUGCCAGCCAAACCCAUGAAACUUGUCAGCAGUUCAUCUACUGAGAGUGGUUAUGCUUUUUCAGUAGUACCUUAUCCUGAAAUAACCUGAUGGAAAAGCCAGUGUCGGAUGACACAUGACAUCAAGUGUUCAAUGCAAAUUCUGCUGGCAUACUAUCCUGUUUGACUCCCUUGCUCUUGAGCCUUCCACAGUUGGUAAUAAGGAACUGAGUACCUUUGCAAUCUCCAGUAAAACAUGUGUGAUGGAAAUGUAAUUCCUUAGGGAAGCAAUUCCCAAUGGCAUACAUAGAUUUGAUUUUUGGGUUGAAAAGUAGUAAAUGACGAAUUGAAGUUUCUUUUUCUCUACUUAAAAACUAUUCUUGACAUUAAUUUUACUUGUAUUUGUUAACCAGUUUACAUUUUAUUUUGUUACUGAGACACUCAAAAGUGUCUAUAUUUUAGUCAAAGCUAAAACUGAAAGACUUUAGCAAAUUGACUUUUCUCUUUCUCCCAACAAACAUUAACUCAGUAUUUUACCUAGCUUUAUUUUCAAAUAUGGAGUUUUAUAGCACCUUGAUUUAUAGCUGGGCGUAAGAAAAGGUUAUGUCAGCAUUUACAUUAUAAGGCCAUGGUUUUGUGGUUUAUAACUAAGCCAUAAAAAUAAUUCUGACUAAAAUUUGGAAUGCCAGUUUCCACCUUGAAACGCAAGUGUGUCCCUAGCUGUAUGACCACACACACACACACACACACACACACACACAUCAGAAUUCAACAACUGCUGUUUUGUAUAAUACAUUUAUUCAAUAUAUUGCUUUGAUUAAAAAUGAACUCAAAGAAAGUCAAGGCUAUGAAGUGAAUUCAAACAAAGCUGUCAUCUAAUGGUAACAACUUAUAUCCUAAGAUAUAUUUUAGUAGAUUUGAAAGUUGAUUUAAUGACAAAAGAAUUUACUGUAUAGUUUUCAUAGUUAAAGAAUAAAGGACAGAAAGAUGAAGUGAGACCUCCACACACAAAAAAAUAGCCUUUUCUUAAUAAGAAAUGUUUGCAACAUUCUUCCACGCUGUAUGGUAGAUAUUCUCUGAAUCUCUUUGCAGAUGUGAUCUAACGUCCUUGAACACAUUUAUUACAAUCCAUCAUCUACAUGGCAACAGUCAGGGCCAUGCUCAUAAACCAGAACUGGUGCUAGAUCUGGUAAGUCAUUAAGCAAACAUAUUCCUGUGUUGUGCGUGGCGUGCAUGCCCACUGCCUGCCUAUAAAACGGAAAUAAGAUUUCUGAUUUGCAAAUUACCUCCUAAGACAUGUAAAGCUAGCUCCUUUAAUCCACAUUACUCAUUUUUGUAUUUUGACUGUUUCAAAUGCUAAAACAGACCUGAAUACAGUUUCCACAGUUCUCUUUAUAAUUAUUGUAUUUUUCAUUUACAUGAUCAUGAAACCUGUUAGCAAGUGAGAAACAGAAUCAUUUUCACUGAGACAAAAAAUAUUGAGAAUUAGGGGGAGAAACUCUGAAGCAAUAUAAACAACAGAGUCUAAUCUUAUCAAAGAGAGAAGGCAGUUGGUGAAUCUGAAAGAUCACUUACUUACCACUCAAUCAUAGAACUUAUACCCCCAAAUAGGAUUUAAGAAAGAAAAAAGCAAUUUAGUAGGAACUGGAAGUUAUAGGGCAUAGGUCUGCUUUAGUUGGUGACAAAAAUUAUGCCUCAGAGGUUAAGAGCAUGGAUUAGGGUGCUGGGUUGCCUGGUUUAAAUCCUAGCUCUGGCACUUACUACUGCAUGGUCCUUGACCAGUUAUUUAACUACUCUGUGCCUCGGCUUCCCAGUGUGGAAAGCAGAAAAACAGUAUCUCCCUUACAGAGAGGCUUUAAAGUUUAAAUGCAUUAACAAAGGGAAAAUCCUUUCAAUGUUGACACAUCAUGAGUGUGACAUAAGUAUUACCUAUUAUUUUUAUUAUGUGACCAAAUGUGGAAGAAAAAUUCUAUAAGAAAGUAGUAACAUUGUUUAGUCUUUCAAAAAUCAUAUAUUCUCCUCCAAUCCUGGCUCUCUGCAAUUCAAGAAAUCCUAACAAAUAGAAAACCUUUGUACACAGGAGAAAACGGAGAUGAGCAAAGGCAAUAUUUGGCUUAUUUGUUAUAACCCUAAUAAAACAAGACUGCUUGAAGAAAUAGACCAAAUUGUGGAAUGUUUAACAUUGAUCCAGGACUGGCUCUUCUGAGGAAAAGAUAUAAUAUUUAUCAUGUGGCCAAUUUUGUCUGUGAAGAUAAGGAGGAACUAAUCGGUCUCAACUUCAUGAUGUUGCUUAAAGGAGCAUAUAAAUGUACGAUCAUAAGUAUCCUUUAAAUGAAGGGGUUGGUUUUAUGACUGCAGAAGUGAGAAAGAGUAAGGUCAUUUAGCCUGAGCAACACAGCAAAACCUUGUCUCUACUAAAAAUUAAACAAAACAACCAAA
RNAcentral lists this long non-coding RNA (8061 nucleotides) under Homo sapiens (human). RNAcentral's name for it is "HSALNT0322862". The record is from RNAcentral. Lineage: Eukaryota; Metazoa; Chordata; Mammalia; Primates; Hominidae.